AUUAACUAGCUAUUCCACCUGACGCCAUCUUAUCUAAAUAUAGUAACUAACCGGAAGGCACGAGAUCCAUGUUUUCACGUUUGUGAUAGACGACAGUCUCAUCUGAGGGUUGAGAUGUUUAACAGCUGUUAAAUGAAAAGAUUUUACUAGAGUGAAAUACCAACACAAAGAUUAUCCACAUUAAGGUGCUAUACUGGAGUGAUAAAGAAAGAAAACAAAGUGAAGUUUAUGAUUUGACUGAAAGAGAGAUUAACACAGACAUAAAAGAGGGAUUUCUAUUUAUCAGAGACACAACUAGAUUUGACCACUGCUACGCAGCUUCUUAAACAUCCUAUCCUUCUGUGACGUCAUCUGCCAUCUUGCUUUCCAAUAUUUGUGCAGGACAAGAGGUCAAGGUAGUCACACUCAGUCAGUGUGGGACUCCGCGCUAUACUGUAUACCACUGUGAAUACCUUGACCUUAAUAACCCUUGAACAAAUAUUGGAUUUUGCAAACUGAAAUUACAGAGUGAUACAGUGACUGAAAUUUCCAUAGAAGGUUGUGUACUGGGAUGAUAAAGACUGGAAGAAUGAAUGGGAGUUUCAGUUAACAGAGAGAGAUCAGAGUUGAAGAUUAUUUACUACAUUUUGAGAAAAAGACUACAGAAGGUGGAAUAGCUACAUUAACUGGGAA
Saccostrea cuccullata (small rock oyster) is the source of this 672-nucleotide long non-coding RNA. RefSeq lists it as uncharacterized. The record is from RefSeq and is a predicted model, not a curated record. NCBI's taxonomy places the organism in Eukaryota, Metazoa, Mollusca, Bivalvia, Ostreida, Ostreidae. The transcript is spliced from 6 exons.